AACUAAGUUUGUUCUUGGCAUAAGCUUUCGUAUGCAUGCACACUUCUUCAGAUACCUGAAGAAGUGUGCAUGCAUACGAAAGCUUAUGCCAAGAACAAACUUAGUUGG
This 108-nucleotide microRNA precursor is filed under the name Podarcis lilfordi (Lilford's wall lizard). The record is from RNAcentral. Lineage: Eukaryota; Metazoa; Chordata; Lepidosauria; Squamata; Lacertidae.